Cervus elaphus (red deer) is the source of this 300-nucleotide long non-coding RNA. RefSeq lists it as uncharacterized. The transcript has 3 exons. The record is from RefSeq and is a predicted model, not a curated record. NCBI's taxonomy places the organism in Eukaryota, Metazoa, Chordata, Mammalia, Artiodactyla, Cervidae.
CUGAGGCUAGGUUCUCUGAUCUGUAUCAUGGGGAAAUCCACUGUACCUUCCCAAGAGGCUUGGUUAGAGGAGGAAUGAGAACAGUACCUGACUUUUAUCAUGUGCUUACAAGAUGCCAGACACUGUUCCAGGUCUUUUACAUGCAUGACGUGAGUCUUCAUUUUGGUUGCUCCAACUCAGUUUUCCCAGAAAACCACUCAUUGAAAAAGGAAGAAUGGGCAUGGAUUUAACCUAAAUGGAAGACCUCUCUUCACCCCACCCACCCUCCCAGACACAGAAUCCUUAGCAACUGAGAAGCCC